UUAAAUAUUAGCUGCGGUACAACAGAUUCAAAAAAUGAGCUCGUAUACAUUAGCUGGGGUACAAUACACAAUGCAAAAAAUGAGCUCGUAUACAUUAGCUGGGGUACAAUAGACAAUGCAAAAACUGAGCUCUUAAAUAUUAGCUGCGGUUCAACAGAUUCCAAAAAUGAGCUCGUAUACAUUAGCUGCGGUUCAAUACACAAUGCAAAAAAUGAACUCAUACAUUAGCUGGGGUACAAUACACAAUGCAAAAAAUGAGCUCUUAAACAUUAGCUGGGGUACAAUACACAAUGCAAAAAAUGAGCUCUUGAACAUUAGCUGUGGUACAAUACACAAUGCAAAAACUGAGCUCUUAAAUAUUAGCUUCGGUACAACAGAUUCAAAAAAUGAGCUCGUAUACAUUAGCUGCGGUACAAUACACAAUGCAAAAAAUGAGCUCUUGAACAUUAGCUGGGGUACAAUACACAAUGCAAAAACGGAGCUCUUAAAUAUUAGCUGCGGUACAACAGAUUCAAAAAAUGAGCUCGUAUACAUUAGCUGCGGUACAAUACACAAUGCAAAAAAUGAGCUCUUGAACAUUAGCUGGGGUACAAUACACAAUGCAAAAACUGAGCUCUUAUAUUUUAGCUGCGGUACAACAGAUUCAAAAAAUGAGCUCGUAUACAUUAGCUGGGGUACAAUACACAAUGCAAAAAAUGAGCUUGUAUACAUUAGCUGGGGUACAAUACACAAUGCAAAAACGGAGCUCUUAAAUAUUAGCUGCGGUACAACAGAUUCAAAAAAUGAGCUCGUAUACAUUAGCUGCGGUAAUAUAGACAAUGCAAAAAAUGAGCUCAUACAUUAGCUGGGGUACAAUACACAAUGCAAAAAUGGAGCUCUUAAAUAUUAGCUGGGGUACAACAGGUUAAAAAAAUGAGCUCGUAUACAUUAGCUGCGGUACAAUACACAAUGCAAAAAAUGAACUCGUAUACAUUAGCUUGGGUAAUAUACACAAUGCAAAAGAUGAGCUCUUAAACAUUAGCUGUGAUACAACACAUGCAAAAAUUGAGCUCGUAUACAUUAGCUGCGGUUCAAUACAAUGCAAAAAAUGAGCUCUUAUACAUUAGCUGGGGUACAAUACACACUGCAAAAACUGUGCUCUUAAAUAUUAGCUGCACUACAACAGAUUCAAAAAAUGAGCUCGUAUACAUUAGCUGCGGUACAAUACACAAUGCAAAAAAUGAGCUCUUAUACAUUAGCUGGGGUACAAUACACAAUGCAAAAAAUGAGCUCUUAGAUAUUAGCUGUGAUAAAACAGAUGCAAAAACUGAGCUCUUAAAUAUUAGCUGUGGUAUACAAAAAAUGAGCUCGUAUACAUUAGCUGGGGUAUAAUGCACAAUGCAAAAAAUGAGCUCUUAUACAUUAGCUGGGGUAUAAUGCACAAUGCAAAAAGUGAGCUCUUCAAUUUUAGCUGCGGUACAACAGAUACAAAAAAUGAGCUCAUAUACAUUAGCUGGGGUACAAUACACACUGUAAAAAAUGAGCUCUUAUACCUUAGCUGGGGUACAAUACACACUGCAAAAACUGAGCUCUUAAAUAUUAGCUGCACUACAACAGAUUCAAAAAAUGAGCUCGUAUACAUUAGCUGCGGUACAAUACACAAUGCAAAAAAUGAGCUCUUAUACAUGAGCUGGGGUACAAUACACAAUGCAAAAAAUGAGCUCUUAAAUAUUAGCUGUGAUAAAACAGAUGCAAAAACUGAGCUCUUAAAUAUUAGCUGUGGUAUACAAAAAAUGAGCUCGUAUACAUUAGCUGGGGUAUAAUGCACAAUGCAAAAAAUGAGCUCUUAUACAUUAGCUGGGGUAUAAUGCACAAUGCAAAAAGUGAGCUCUUCAAUUUUAGCUGCGGUACAACAGAUACAAAAAAUGAGCUCAUAUACAUUAGCUGGGGUACAAUACACACUGUAAAAAAUGAGCUCUUAUACCUUAGCUGGGGUACAAUACAUCCUCUCCCUGCACAGCUUUCAACUUGGGUGGAACACGUUGGCUGGAACACGUUGGCUGGAACACGUUGGCUGGAACACGUUGGCUGGAACACACUUGACAUGUGUAGUACAUUAGCUUUAACACAUUAGCUGUAACACAUUAGACCUAAUACAUUAGCUGCGGUACAACAGAUACAAAAAAUGAGCUUGUAUACAUUAGCUAGGGUAAAAUAGACAAUGCAAAAACUGAGCUCUUAAAUAUUAGCUGCGGUUCAACAGAUUCAAAAAAUGAGCUCGUAUACAUUAGCUGCGGUUCAAUACAAUGCAAAAAAUGAACUCUUACAUUAGCUGGGGUACAAUACACAAUGCAAAAAAUGAGCCUGUAUACAUUAGCUGGGGUACAAUACACAAUUCAAAAACGGAGCUCUUAAAUAUUAGCUGCGGUACAACAGAUUCAAAAAAUGAGAUCUUAAACAUUAGCUGGGGUACAAUACACAAUGCAAAAAAUGAGCUCGUAUACAUUAGCUGGGGUACAAUAGACAAUGCAAAAAAUGAGCUCUUAAAUAUUAGCUGCGGUUCAACAGAUUCAAAAAAUGAGCUCGUAUACAUUAGCUGCGGUUCAAUACAAUGCAAAAAAUGAACUCAUACAUUAGCUGCGGUACAAUACACAAUGCAAAAAAUGAGAUCUUAAACAUUAGCUGGGGUACAAUACACAAUGCAAAAACGGAGCUCUGAAAUAUUAGCUGCGGUAAAACAGAUUCAAAAAAUGAGCUCGUAUACAUUAACUGCGGUAAUAUACACAAUGCAAAAAAUGAGCUCUUAUACAUUAGCUGGGGUACAAUACACAAUGCAAAAAAUGAGCUCUUAAAUAUUAGCUGCGGUUCAAUACACAAUGCAAAAAAUGAACUCUGAUACAUUAGCUGGGGUACAAUACACAAUUCAAAAAAUGAGCUCUUAAACAUUAGCUGGGGUACAAUACACAAUGCAAAAACGGAGCUCUUAAAUACUAGCUGCAGUACAACAGAUUCAAAAAAUGAGCUCGUAUACAUUAGCUGGGGUACAAUACACAAUGCAAAAAAUGAGCUCGUAUACAUUAGCUGGGGUACAAUACACAAUGCAAAAAAUGAGCUCGUAUACAUUAGCUGCGGUACAAUACACAAUGCAAAAACGGAGCUCUUAAACAUUGGCUGUGAUACAACACAUGCAAAAACUGAGCUCUUAAAUAUUAGCUGCGGUAUACAAAAAAUGAGCUCGUAUACAUUAGCUGGGGUACAAUACUCAAUGCAAAAAAUGAGCUCAUACAUUAGCUGGGGUACAAUACACAAUGCAAAAACGGAGCUCUUAAAUACUAGCUGCAGUACAACAGAUUCAAAAAAUGAGCUCGUAUACAUUAGCUGGGGUACAAUACACAAUGCAAAAAAUGAGCUCGUAUACAUUAGCUGCGGUACAAUACACAAUGCAAAAAUGGAGCUCUUAAAUAUAAGCUGCUGUACAACAGAUUCAAAAAAUGAGCUCGUAUACAUUAGCUGCGGUUCAAUACACAACGCAAAAAAUGAGCUCUUAAACAUUGGCUGUGAUACAACACAUGCAAAAACUGAGCUCUUAAAAUUAGCUGCGGUAUACAAAAAAUGAGCUCGUAUACAUUAGCUGCGGUACAAUACACAAUGCAAAAAAUUAGCUCUUAAACAUUAGCUGUGAUACAACAGACGCAAAAAGUGAGCUCUUAAAUAUUAGCUGCGGUAUACAAAAAUGGUUCAAGUUCUGAAUAAAAACCACGUUGAAAGCUGUGCAUGUAGGCUGCAGCGAGGUGUGCAGGGAGAGGUUCCAGCUAAAGCUAUCUGAUUACAGGUGUCGGCGGAGCAAGCGAGCGAACGAAGGGCGGCGGAGCCAGCGAGUGAGCGAGCGAAGGGCGGCGGAGCGAGCAAGCGAGCCAAGGGCGGCGGAGCGAGCGAGCGAGCCAAGGGCGGCAGAGCGAGCGAGCGAACGGACACCUGUGAUGAAAUAGCUUUAGCUGGAUCCUCUCCCUGCACAGCUUUCAACUUGGCUGGAACAUUUUGGCUGGAACACUUUGGCUGGAACACCUGGGCUGGAACACACUUGACAUUAAUAGUACAUUAGCUUUAAGACAUUAUCUGUAACACAUUAGAUCUAAUUCAUUAGCUGUGGUACAAUAGAUACAAAAAAUGAACUCGUAUACAUUGGCUGCGGUACAAUAUAUGCAAAAAAAUGAGCUCUUAGACAUUAGCUGCGGUACAAUAGAUGCAAAAACCGAGCUCUUAGACAUUAGCUGCGGUACAACAGAUGCAAAAAAAAUGAGCUCAGCCAUUAGCUGUGGUACAAUAGAUGCAAAAAUCGAGCUCUUGGACAUUAGCUGCGGUACAACAGAUGCAAAUAAUGAGCUCUUAUACAUUAGCUGUGGUAGAACAGAUGCAAAAAAUGACCUCAAACAUUAUCUGCGGUACAAUACACAAUGCAAAAACUGAGCUCUUAUACAUUAGCUGGGGUACAAUACCCACUGGUCGCACACCGACAGAUCCAACUCGCUGGCUGCACUCCACUGCCUGUAACACAGAAGAUGCAGUACAUUAGCUCUCAGACAUUCGCUAUAGUAUAUUAACUGUAGUUCAUUAGCUGUAACACAUCUGCUGCAAUACAUUAACAGCAAUACACUAGCUGUGGUAUAUUAGCUGUAGAAUAAUAGCUGCAGUACAUUACAUAUACACUGUUUUUUAAGAGCUAAUUCUCUAAAACAGUUGUCGGCUGCCAAAACCUAUCCUGCAACAAAAGAGCUAUUCACACUACUUUGGAUUUAUAAUGUGAUAAAUAGACAUCUCUAAAAACCUCUCUCUCUCAAACAAAACCUUCUGAUUAUUACGCAAAUGAGGACAUUUUAAAAUAUUAUUUGAGAUGAUUUAUUGUAGGCUCUUUUUGUGGAUUUUAUGGCUUGUGCAGUUAUAGAUCUACAAGUAGGAUGUGCCAUCUUGUAUUGUACUACAAAUAUUGUAAAUAAUAAAUAAAUACAAUGGCCGGUUGUUAGUUUAUACACUAUUAAUCUCAUUUAACAUACUGUAGUAAACAUCAGCAGCUGAAGAGUGAGAGGAUGUAACAAAAUUAUGAGAAAUCAAAGGUAAUGUGCAAUAUUGCGCAAUGUUAAGUGAAGAGCAGUUUAUUUCAAAUCAACUGGUUAAAGGUGGUGACACAACAGUACCUGUUCAGCCAACUACACAAGGAGGUCUACACAACACACACACACACACACACAAGACAGAAAAAGGGACCCAACGGACACAUAACAGACACACAGACAUGACAGACACAACAGAAACACAACACACACAACAGACACAACAGAAACACAACACACACAACAGACACACAACAGAGACACAUUACCUGCUCAACUGGCUACACAAAGAGGUGAACACAACACACACACAAUACAGAUACAACAGACACACAUCAGAGACACAACUUAUGGCUUAUGCAGUUAUAGAUCUACAAGUAGGAUGUGCCAUCUUGUACUACAAACACAGUAAAUGAUAAAUAAUAAACAAUGGCCGGUCGUUAGUUUAUACACUAUUAAUCUCACUUAACACACUGUACUAAACUUCAGCAGUUGAAGAGAGAGGAGAUGUAAUGAAAUUAUGAAAAAUCAGGGGUAAUGCUGUGCAAUAUUAUGCAAUAUUAAGUGAAGAGCAGUUUAAUUCAAACCGGUGGAUGUUGAACUUUGUUGCAGCUGAAUGGGUUUCAGUUAACUUUAAAGUGAAAUAACUUUUUUGAGAGAUACAAGCUGAGAAGCUCACGCUAAUAAUGAUAGACAACUGCAGCAGUAAUUAACACAAGUAUUCAGAAGCCAAGUUAACUCGCUAGCUAAAUUAGCCGUUGAACACCAGUGCUACUUUAGCCCGCUAGCUAAAUUAGCCUGCUAGCUAAAUUAGCCCGCUAGCUCAAUUAGCCCGCUAGCUCAAUUAGCCCGCUAGCUCAAUUAGCCCGCUAGCUCAAUUAGCCUCUUAGUCUGGACCAACUGCAGUCCAAAAGCGCUCAAACAUGACAAAACACAACUCUUGACAUGUCGCUAACUUAAUGUAUAACAACACAACACUACUGGUUAAAAGAAUUUAUCUUCUUACCGUAUGUAACGCCAAAAGCACUGCCAGCAGCAACUUCGCUGCGGACGACGACGACGUGCCCUGAUGUGCCCUGAUGUGCCUGAUGUGUCCAGAUGUGUCCUGAUGUGGCGUCAACGAAGCUGCAUCUGCCGGCUGAGCAGAAACACCGAGUUUAUAUAGAGAGCGGCGGAGCUUCGGCUGCUGAUUGGUCCAGAGCAGGCAGCGUGAUCGAUGACGUCACCAUUUUGGCGCCAAUGCUCGGAUUUGCUACUAGCGCCGUUUGGUAUAUUGUGUUACCUAUUUAGCUAGCCGUGUUCUGUAUAUUUUGUUAGCCGGUUAGCUAGCCCUGUUCUGUAUAUUUUGUUAGCCGGUUAGCUAGCCCCGUUCUGUAUAUUUUGUUAGCCGGUUAGCUAGCCCUGUUCUGUAUAUUUUGUUGGCCGGUUAGCUAGCCCUGUUCUGUAUAUUUUGUUAGCCGGUUAGCUAGCCUUGUUCUGUAUAUUUUGUUAGCCAUUUAGCUAGCUCUGUUCUGUAUAUUUUGUUGGUCGGCCAACAGAUAAGACUUUAAACCAGCGGGACAUGUGGAACAGAAAGUGUUUUCUGAGCUCCACAGCGGCUCACACUGCAGUAGCAAAGUUGGACAGAGUUUUGCUAGCUUAGCCUGUGACAGCAUAUUAAAUCCAGCUGCACUAGCAUUUUUGGUUUCCUCAUUUUUAACUGUUAAGGUUCAUUUUAGUGGCCUUUGUCAAGUGCAAGCGGACACAAUUGCUGGAUAUCAGUCAACAGUUAGGACACACAUUCUCAUUCAGUGGUUUUUAUUGAUUUUAAUUACUGUCCACUUUGUAAGUGAAUACUGGAGACAACAAAACUGAAAGAACACAUAUGGAAUUAUGUAGUGUACUGAAAAAAUGUUAAACCAGAUUAUGUUUUAUAUUUUAGAUUCUUUAAAGCAGCCCCCUUUCUGCUUUGAUGACAGCUUUGCACACUCUUGGCAUUCUCUCCAUCAGCUUCAUGAGGUCUCCUGGAUGGUUUUCCAACAGCCUUGAAGGACUUCCCAGGGGUGCUGAUGGAGUUUCUUCUCAAUGGAGAUGUUGAGGUGGAUUUGUUGUGUUCCAGAGGCUGAUGUGAACAGAAAGCAAUUUUUCUCAAGGAUGUAGAUGUGGUUGAUGUGAACAUGACGAAGAAUCACAGCAACGUGUGAACAAUAAAGGUCAGAUCAGACUUUACUGUUCCUGUGGGGAGAAGUUGUCAUGUUUCAGCUCUGCUCUGGAUGUGAGCAGCUGCCACUGCAGCCUCUGACUGGAUACAAUGGACUUGGACUAAGAGAAACAUGUCAGAUGUUGACGAGCUUUUCAGUUUUUAGAUCGAGUGUUGAGGUGAAGCAACUGUCCCAAAGCUGGACAGGUUUCCUCCAAUCAGAGCUGAGUGUGUUUGUCAUGUGACUAAGAGGAAGGAGGCGAACUAAUGUGUGACUCUCCCAGCAGGUUGUUAUGUUUGUCUGCUAUGCAUCAGGGUGAGGACAGAGAGGAGGGAAGAUCUCUGUGUGGGGAACAGGAGAACCAGAGCAAAGCUCAGAGGGGAGAUGAGCAUCUCUAACUGUCAGAGCUCAGCAUCACAUCACUGCUGUCAUUAUUCACACUCACAGCUCUGUGUGUUGAAGCCCAGAGCAGCAGAACACACACUCUACUGGACCUGGACCUGGACCUGGACCUGGACCUGGGCUUGGACCUGGACCUGGACCUACCUGGAUCCAGCUGUGUGUCCAUGAAGAGUGACUGGUCAAAGGAGCAUCCCCUUCAUUUCAGACGAUCUGCAGGUGGAAGAGGAUCCAGCAGCAGAGACCAGACUGUCCUGAACCCAGCUGUCUGUCCUUCAAGAUUGACCAGUCGAAGGAUGAAUUAAUUAACUUUUAAGACGUCUGUCCAACUGCUGAUCAGAUGUAAGCUGGAACUGACAGAAAGAGUCACUGAUUCUAGAACAGAACCAGUUUGUACGACGUGUUGUCUGACCUGCUCUGAAAUCCAAAGUGUUUCUGACUGUUGUGAACGUCCACGUCACAGCGAGGUGGUUUAAAUGUGGAGAUAACUGUUUCCAUUUUCAGAGCCGACCCUCUUGAACGAGAUCUACACAGAGCUGUACAUCACAGAGGGAGGGACUGCAGAGGUCAGUGAUAAACACGAGGUCAGACAGAUUGAAGCAGCAGCCAGAGCAGAAGCAAGCAUCAGACCAGAAGAGAUCUUUAAAGGCUCACCUGGAAGAGAUGGACCAAUCAGAACAGUGAUGACACAGGGAGUGGCUGGCAUCAGGAAAACUGUGUUAACACAGAAGUUAACUCUGGACUGGGCUGAAGACAAAAGCAACCAGGACAUCCAGCUCAUGUUUCCAUUGACUUUCAGAGAGCUGAAUGUGGUGAAAAAGAGAAAAUUCAGCUUGGUGGAACUUGUUCAUCACUUCUUUAGUGAAACCAAAGCAGCAGGAAUCUGCAGCUUUGAACACUUCCAGGUUGUGUUGAUCUUUGACGGUCUGGAUGAGUGUCGCCUUCCUCUGGACUUCCACAACAAUGAGAUGCUGACUGAUGUUAGAGAGUCCACCUCAGUGGAUGUGCUGCUGACAAACCUGAUCAGGGGGAAGCUGCUUCCCUCUGCUCGCCUCUGGAUAACCACACGACCUGCAACAGCCAAUCAGAUCCCUCCUGACUGUGUGGACAUGGUGACAGAGGUCAGAGGAUUCACCGACCCACAGAAAGAGGAGUACUUCAGGAAGAGAUCCAGAAAUAAGAAGCAGGCCAGCAGCAUCAUCUCCCACAUGAAGACAUCACGAAGCCUUCACAUCAUGUGCCAUAUCCCAGUGUUCUGCUGGAUCACUGCUACAGUUCUGGAGGAGCUGCUGAGAACCAGAGAGGGAGGAGAUCUGCCCAGAACCCUGACUGAGAUGUUCAUCCACUACCAAAGUCAAGAAGGUCAAGUAUGAUGGAGGAGCUGAGACAGAUCCACACUGGAGUCCAGACAGCAGGAGGAUGAUUGAGUCUCUGGGAAAACUGGCUUUUAAUCAGCUGCAGAAAGGAAACCUGAUCUUCCAUGAGUCCAACCUGACAGAGUGUGGCAUCAGUAUGAGAGCAGCCUCAGUGUAGUCAGGAGUGUUGACACAGAUCUUUAGAGAGGAGAGAGGGUUGUACCAGGACAAGGUGUUCUGCUUCGUCCAUCUGAGCGUUCAGGAGUUUCUGGCUGCUCUUCAUGUCCAUCAAACCUUCAUCAACUCUGGAAUCAACCUGCUGGAAGAAGA
Amphiprion ocellaris (clown anemonefish) is the source of this 9351-nucleotide RNA transcript. It is a transcript of the gene named protein NLRC3-like, with no coding region annotated. The record is from RefSeq and is a predicted model, not a curated record. The transcript is spliced from 3 exons. Lineage: Eukaryota; Metazoa; Chordata; Actinopteri; Pomacentridae.